This 836-nucleotide long non-coding RNA is filed under the name Marmota monax (woodchuck). Lineage: Eukaryota; Metazoa; Chordata; Mammalia; Rodentia; Sciuridae. The record is from RNAcentral.
CCAUCCCUACCCCGGCCCCCAAUCUCCCUUUUAUUUCCUUUUAAUUGGUGUCUCCCAAAUCCAAAAGCCACUUUUGCCCACCCCAAGUCCUGACUGGGAUCCCCUGUGAGACCAUGGUGUGGACCUACUGGGAGAACUGAGUAGGAUAGAGCUUCCCUUUGAAACUGGACAUUUGAGCUCAACAUGCUUGCUGUGGGUGUGGGAGAGGCCAAGUAGGAGAGAUGCCAUCAGUCUGAUGACAAUCUUGCAGCCAGCAGCGCCCCAACCAAGAGCAGAGCUCCAGGUGGCCAUGUCACCCAUGCUCAGAAGCAUGGGAGGACUGACCCCCACAGCCUGACACCUGGCACACACACCCAGCAUGGGGCCUGAGGCCCUGAGGGCACAGGGCAGGGUGCAAUCCAGGUUGUCACCCCCACAACAAGAUUCAGGGUUAUGGAGGGUGAAUUUCACUCCGUAGAGGACAAUGGUUUCCUCACUUCUGGCCGGGGCAGGAGGGGUGGAGCUCAGUAUAGAAAGUCCUCUAAGAAUUUGACUUUUUUGGGUCACAGCAGAGAUGGGAUGCACUGCACAACAAACCUCCUUGAAGCUGUGGAUUCUAAAAUUGAAGCUAAUUUAAAAAUUCCUAGAAUCAAAUGAAAGUGGAAACACAACAUUCCAGAAUCUGUAGCCCAGCAAAGGCAGUUCCAAGAUGGACGGUUAUAGCUAAGACUGCCUCUAUAAAACCAACAACCAAACAAGUCAGGAAGGUCUCCAGUAAAUAGCCUAAUAAUGCAUUUCAAGGUCUGAGAAAAAUAAGAACAAACCAAUAACAAAUACAAUCAAAGAAUCAGAAGUAA